This 389-nucleotide ribosomal RNA is filed under the name uncultured bacterium. Its description in RNAcentral is "bacterial SSU rRNA". It matches the Rfam family "Bacterial small subunit ribosomal RNA", at positions 28 to 416 of the family's 1533-position model. The record is from RNAcentral.
GACGAACGCUGGCGGCGUGCUUAACACAUGCAAGUCGAGCGAGACCUCACCUUCGGGUGGGUGUUCUAGCGGCGAACGGGUGAGUAACACGUGGGCAACCUGCCCUCAGCUCUGGGAUAACUCCAAGAAAUUGGGGCUAAUACCGGAUAUGACCGCUGACCGCAUGGUCUGGUGGUGGAAAGAUUUAUCGGCUGGGGAUGGGCCCGCGGCCUAUCAGCUUGUUGGUGGGGUAGUGGCCUACCAAGGCGACGACGGGUAGCCGGCCUGAGAGGGUGACCGGCCACACUGGGACUGAGACACGGCCCAGACUCCUACGGGAGGCAGCAGUGGGGAAUAUUGCGCAAUGGGCGGAAGCCUGACGCAGCGACGCCGCGUGGAGGACGAAGUCC